This 1417-nucleotide ribosomal RNA is filed under the name uncultured organism. RNAcentral's name for it is "16S ribosomal RNA". It matches the Rfam family "Bacterial small subunit ribosomal RNA". The record is from RNAcentral.
GAACGCUAGCUACAGGCUUAACACAUGCAAGUCCAUGGGCAGCAUGGUCUUAGCUUGCUAAGGCCGAUGGCGACCGGCGCACGGGUGAGUAACACGUAUCCAACCUGCCGUCUACUCUUGGACAGCCUUCUGAAAGGAAGAUUAAUACAAGAUGGCAUCAUGAGUCCGCAUGUUCACAUGAUUAAAGGUAUUCCGGUAGACGAUGGGGAUGCGUUCCAUUAGAUAGUAGGCGGGGUAACGGCCCACCUAGUCUUCGAUGGAUAGGGGUUCUGAGAGGAAGGUCCCCCACAUUGGAACUGAGACACGGUCCAAACUCCUACGGGAGGCAGCAGUGAGGAAUAUUGGUCAAUGGGCGAGAGCCUGAACCAGCCAAGUAGCGUGAAGGAUGACUGCCCUAUGGGUUGUAAACUUCUUUUAUAAAGGAAUAAAGUCGGGUAUGGAUACCCGUUUGCAUGUACUUUAUGAAUAAGGAUCGGCUAACUCCGUGCCAGCAGCCGCGGUAAUACGGAGGAUCCGAGCGUUAUCCGGAUUUAUUGGGUUUAAAGGGAGCGUAGAUGGAUGUUUAAGUCAGUUGUGAAAGUUUGCGGCUCAACCGUAAAAUUGCAGUUGAUACUGGAUAUCUUGAGUGCAGUUGAGGCAGGCGGAAUUCGUGGUGUAGCGGUGAAAUGCUUAGAUAUCACGAAGAACUCCGAUUGCGAAGGCAGCCUGCUAAGCUGCAACUGACAUUGAGGCUCGAAAGUGUGGGUAUCAAACAGGAUUAGAUACCCUGGUAGUCCACACGGUAAACGAUGAAUACUCGCUGUUUGCGAUAUACUGCAAGCGGCCAAGCGAAAGCGUUAAGUAUUCCACCUGGGGAGUACGCCGGCAACGGUGAAACUCAAAGGAAUUGACGGGGGCCCGCACAAGCGGAGGAACAUGUGGUUUAAUUCGAUGAUACGCGAGGAACCUUACCCGGGCUUAAAUUGCAGAUGAAUUACGGUGAAAGCCGUAAGCCGCAAGGCAUCUGUGAAGGUGCUGCAUGGUUGUCGUCAGCUCGUGCCGUGAGGUGUCGGCUUAAGUGCCAUAACGAGCGCAACCCUUGUUGUCAGUUACUAACAGGUUCCGCUGAGGACUCUGACAAGACUGCCAUCGUAAGAUGUGAGGAAGGUGGGGAUGACGUCAAAUCAGCACGGCCCUUACGUCCGGGGCUACACACGUGUUACAAUGGGGGGUACAGAGGGCCGCUACCACGCGAGUGGAUGCCAAUCCCCAAAACCUCUCUCAGUUCGGACUGGAGUCUGCAACCCGACUCCACGAAGCUGGAUUCGCUAGUAAUCGCGCAUCAGCCACGGCGCGGUGAAUACGUUCCCGGGCCUUGUACACACCGCCCGUCAAGCCAUGGGAGCCGGGGGUACCUGAAGUGCGUAACCGCGAGGAG